RNAcentral lists this ribosomal RNA (422 nucleotides) under uncultured Flavihumibacter sp. RNAcentral describes it as "bacterial SSU rRNA". It matches the Rfam family "Bacterial small subunit ribosomal RNA", at positions 355 to 774 of the family's 1533-position model. The record is from RNAcentral. Lineage: Bacteria; Pseudomonadati; Bacteroidota; Chitinophagia; Chitinophagales; Chitinophagaceae.
UAAGGAAUAUUGGUCAAUGGACGCAAGUCUGAACCAGCCAUGCCGCGUGGAGGAUGAAGGUCCUCUGGAUUGUAAACUUCUUUUAUCUGGGACGAAAAAAGGGAAUUCUUUCUCGUCUGACGGUACCAGAUGAAUAAGCACCGGCUAACUCCGUGCCAGCAGCCGCGGUAAUACGGAGGGUGCAAGCGUUAUCCGGAUUCACUGGGUUUAAAGGGUGCGUAGGCGGGUAUGUAAGUCCGUGGUGAAAUCUCCGAGCUUAACUCGGAAACUGCCAUGGGUACUGUGUAUCUUGAAUGUUGUGGAGGUGAGCGGAAUAUGUCAUGUAGCGGUGAAAUGCUUAGAUAUGACAUAGAACACCAAUUGCGAAGGCAGCUCACUACACAAAUAUUGACGCUGAGGCACGAAAGCGUGGGGAUCAAACA